Molecule: long non-coding RNA, 389 nt
Organism: Brachypodium distachyon (stiff brome)
Lineage: Eukaryota; Viridiplantae; Streptophyta; Magnoliopsida; Poales; Poaceae
Exons: 2
Source: RefSeq, a predicted model, not a curated record
AUUGGCAUCGCACCUCCUCUUUCCUGCAAGGAGGCUGCUCCCCCACUUUGUUCAGAUCUCUUUGGUCUCUUCUUUCCUUAAAGCAUGAGGAAAUAAAUACACACAGGGCAUGGAGGGUGGUGGGGUUGGACUGUCAUGGGAAUUCGGUCCCUACAGGAAAAGAAAACCUGCGUUAAUGGCCUUUUGGACUUUAGGAUGGUGACUCGGAAUUCGAUUAAUUGCAAUGGUGAAAGUGCACAGUAAUGCUUUGGUCCUGAAGAAAAACAAUGACUGUAUUGUCCUGUCGGUUAGCUGGAUGAUGUGAUCCGUAAGAGCUGUGUGGGUGUUUGCGUUGUGUGUGCUCCGAUUCAUGAUUGCAGAAUAUUGCCACCGUGUACAGAUUAAAACUC